This 321-nucleotide ribosomal RNA is filed under the name uncultured eukaryote. RNAcentral describes it as "partial 18S ribosomal RNA". It matches the Rfam family "Eukaryotic small subunit ribosomal RNA", at positions 1470 to 1796 of the family's 1831-position model. The record is from RNAcentral.
CCCUUAGAUGUUCUGGGCCGCACGCGCGUUACACUGAUGAACGCAACGAGACCACCUGUACCGAAAGGCAUGGGUAAACUUGUGAAAGUUCAUCGUGAUGGGGAUAGAUUAUUGCAAUUAUUAAUCUUCAACGAGGAAUUCCUAGUAAGCGCGAGUCAUCAGCUCGCGUUGAUUACGUCCCUGCCCUUUGUACACACCGCCCGUCGCUCCUACCGAUUGAAUGGUCCGGUGAAAUCUUCGGAUUGCUGGAUAGGACUUCAUUGACCUAUCUGCGAGAAGUUGCUUGAACCUUAUCAUUUAGAGGAAGGAGAAGUCGUAACA